AGUAAGAAGUACCUUAGUAGUAUUGCAAUAGACAAAGAGUAACUAAUAAUAACAAUAAAAAUAGAAAAUAAAUAUAAAAAAUAUAAUAAAGUAAGUAAAAAAGAAAAAUUAAAUAAAAAACUAAAAGGAAAAUAAAAAUAAAAAAGGAAAAACUAAACUAACUAAGAAAUAAAAACAACUAAAAUUUAAAUUUAAACCUAAAAAUAAAAA
RNAcentral lists this long non-coding RNA (210 nucleotides) under Lathyrus oleraceus (garden pea). RNAcentral describes it as "Pisum sativum (pea) long non-coding RNA (PSAT_LNC032233)". The record is from RNAcentral. Lineage: Eukaryota; Viridiplantae; Streptophyta; Magnoliopsida; Fabales; Fabaceae.